AUAUUUCUGAAAUAUUUGUUAAGCUCUUAUUUUGAACCUACAGUACUUAAACGGGAGUUCAAUAUUUAGAUGCCGAUUAGACCUAUAAGACCAAUAUAAUGGCAAGGACAGUGAAGUAUCUGUGAGAACACCCACCUAUCGAAGAGAUAGGUGUCAAAAUCAGGGCAGCGGUAUUUUGGAUUAUA
Molecule: non-coding RNA, 185 nt
Filed under: Clostridium ganghwense
Lineage: Bacteria; Bacillati; Bacillota; Clostridia; Eubacteriales; Clostridiaceae
Description: 6S RNA
Rfam family: 6S / SsrS RNA
About the family: E. coli 6S RNA was the first non coding RNA to be sequenced, but its function was unknown until recently. It consists of 184 nucleotides that fold into an extended hairpin structure with a large single-stranded internal bulge. The 6S RNA specifically associates with RNA polymerase holoenzyme containing the sigma70 specificity factor.
Source: RNAcentral